Non-coding RNA from Cajanus cajan (pigeon pea), 112 nucleotides. NCBI's taxonomy places the organism in Eukaryota, Viridiplantae, Streptophyta, Magnoliopsida, Fabales, Fabaceae. The record is from Rfam.
UAGAGAAACAUCAUUGAGUGCAGCGUUGAUGAAGAUUCUCUCUCACUUGUGUCUCUCAGGAAGAUGUUUCAUGGUGUUAGUGUCAUCAAUGCUGCACUCAAUCAUGUUUUUC